Molecule: ribosomal RNA, 405 nt
Filed under: uncultured bacterium
Lineage: Bacteria
Description: partial 16S ribosomal RNA
Rfam family: Bacterial small subunit ribosomal RNA
Source: RNAcentral
AUUGAACGCUGGCGGCAGGCCUAACACAUGCAAGUCGAACGAGUGGAGGACGGGUGAGUAAUGUCUGGGAACUGCCCGAUGGAGGGGGAUAACUAUUGGAAACGAUAGCUAAUACCGCAUACUGUGAGAUGGACCUGCGUUGUAUUAGCUAGUUGGUGAGGUAAAGGCUCCACAAGGCGACGAUACAUAGCCGACCUGAGAGUGGGAUCGGCCAAACCGGGACUGAGGAACGGCCCAGGCUCCGACGGGAGGCAGCAGUAGGGAAUGUGUGGCAAUUGAAGGAAGUCUGACCGAGCAACGCCGCGGGAGGGAAGAAGGUUUUCGGAACGUAAAGCUCUGUUGUUAGGGAAGCGGUAACUAACCAGAAAGGGACGGCUAACUACGUGCCAGCAGCCGCGGUAAUAC